GACGAACGCUGGCGGCGUGCUUAACACAUGCAAGUCGAACGGAAAGGCCCCUUUGGGGGUACUCGAGUGGCGAACGGGUGAGUAACACGUGAGUAACCUGCCCUUGACUUCGGGAUAACUUCAGGAAACUGGGGCUAAUACCGGAUAGGAAUCCUUGCUGCAUGGGGGGGGUUGGAAAGCUUCGGCGGUUUUGGAUGGACUCGCGGCUUAUCAGCUUGUUGGUGGGGUAGUGGCUUACCAAGGCUUUGACGGGUAGCCGGCCUGAGAGGGCGACCGGCCACAUUGGGACUGAGAUACGGCCCAGACUCUUACGGGAGGCAGCAGUGGGGAAGAUUGCACAAGGGGCGGAAGCCUGAUGCAGCAACGCCGCGGGCGGGAUGACGGCCUUCGGGUUGUAAACCGCUUUCAGCAGGGGCGAAGCUUGUGGUGACGGUACCUGCAGAAGAAGCACCGGCUAACUACGUG
Molecule: ribosomal RNA, 465 nt
Filed under: uncultured bacterium
Lineage: Bacteria
Description: partial 16S ribosomal RNA
Rfam family: Bacterial small subunit ribosomal RNA
Source: RNAcentral